RNAcentral lists this transfer-messenger RNA (390 nucleotides) under Candidatus Tayloriibacteriota bacterium. It matches the Rfam family "transfer-messenger RNA". From Rfam's summary of the family: Bacterial tmRNA, also known as 10Sa RNA or SsrA, is named for its dual tRNA and mRNA-like properties. RNAcentral also lists the same sequence under 1 other name. The record is from RNAcentral. Lineage: Bacteria; Candidatus Tayloriibacteriota.
GGGGAUGAUCGGCCUAGACAAUUGGACGUUUCGUCCAUGUUGCAAAGUAGAGCUGUAGUAACUCUUAAAAAGGCUACAAAAACUAACUGCAAAAACAGUUGCAAAAGCCAAGGGAAUUCUCUCGCCAUACAUGGCGGGCUUCCCCGCUUUCGCUUACGCGCGAGCCUAAGCGACAUUCGACCGGCUGACUUCCGAUAAGUCGUCUCGGGUGUUAUACAUUCGGAAUAAGAUUUGUGUCGUUCCGCCACAAAUCCCAAACUAAGGAACUCGGUACAUUUUGUAUUUUGCUUGUUUAGAGCAAAACGGCUUAAAAAAAUAAACAACCUAGACUUUGUAGACGCAUGAACACUCACCUUUUGCACGCGCGUUCGAUUCGCGCCAUCUCCACAA